CGUCCUCUGCUGUGUCCGACAGCGCACGCAAACAUUCGCCUUGUCCCUUAUUGACGACCACGGGUAGGCAACGGUAGCCGGGAGUGCAAGUCCGCCUCGUAGCGGGAAGCCCGAUGGAAACCCAGCCUUCCCACUUGAACCCCGGGUUCAAGGUCGUUUCGUGAACAUCGGCAUUGGCGGAGGACGU
This 187-nucleotide non-coding RNA is filed under the name Pseudoxanthomonas indica. The record is from RNAcentral. Lineage: Bacteria; Pseudomonadati; Pseudomonadota; Gammaproteobacteria; Lysobacterales; Lysobacteraceae.